Molecule: unclassified non-coding RNA, 327 nt
Filed under: uncultured Ascomycota
Lineage: Eukaryota; Fungi; Ascomycota
Description: sequence contains ITS1
Rfam family: 5.8S ribosomal RNA (bases 1-104)
Source: RNAcentral
GAAAUGCGAUACGUAAUGCGAAUUGCAGAUUCAGCGAGUCAUCGAGUCUUUGAACGCAUAUUGCGCCCCCAGGCACUCCUGGGGGCUUGUCCGACCGAGCGCCGCCGCGCAGCUCGGGGAGCUCCCGUCCCCGGCGUUGGGGCCCCGGCGAGCUGGUCUCGCAGCCCCCAAAUCCAGAGGCGGCCGCCCGUAGGCGUCCCAUGCGCAGUAGCAGACCCAAGCCUGCCCGGGAAGCUACGGAUGGCCCGCUAGGCCCAAGACCUUUCUCAGGAAGGGCACCUUCAACCCGCUGGCCUCGGGUCGGACAAGGUUACCCGCUGAACUUAA